CGGAGGAUCCAAGCGUUAUCCGGAAUCAUUGGGUUUAAAGGGUCCGUAGGCGGUUUAGUAAGUCAGUGGUGAAAGCCCAUCGCUCAACGGUGGAACGGCCAUUGAUACUGCUAGACUUGUAUUAUUAGGAAGUAACUAGAAUAUGUAGUGUAGCGGUGAAAUGCUUAGAGAUUACAUGGAAUACCAAUUGCGAAGGCAGGUUACUACUAAUGGAUUGACGCUGAUGGACGAAAGCGUGGGUAGCGAACAGGAUUAGAUACCCUGGUAGUCCACGCCGUAAACGAUGGAUACUAGCUGUUGGGAGCAAUUUCAGUGGCUAAGCGAAAGUGAUAAGUAUCCCACCUGGGGAGUACGUUCGCAAGAAUG
Molecule: ribosomal RNA, 366 nt
Filed under: uncultured organism
Description: bacterial SSU rRNA
Rfam family: Bacterial small subunit ribosomal RNA
Source: RNAcentral